RNAcentral lists this small nuclear RNA (141 nucleotides) under Aotus nancymaae (Ma's night monkey). Its description in RNAcentral is "U4 spliceosomal RNA (ENSANAG00000003449.1)". It matches the Rfam family "U4 spliceosomal RNA". Rfam says of the family: U4 small nuclear RNA (U4 snRNA) is a component of the major U2-dependent spliceosome. The record is from Rfam by way of RNAcentral. Lineage: Eukaryota; Metazoa; Chordata; Mammalia; Primates; Aotidae.
AGCUUUGUGCAGUGGCAGUGGCAUAGCCAAUGAGAUUUAUCUGAGGUGCGAUUAUUGCUAAUUAAAAACUUUUCCCAAUACCCCGCCAUGAUGACUUGAAAUAUAGUUGGCAUUGGUAAACUUUGAUAGUCUCUAUGGAGA